AACGCUGGCGGCGUGCCUAACACAUGCAAGUCAACUUGACUGAAGGAGCAAUCUGACAGUAGAGUGGCACAAGGGUGCGUAACGCGUAAGUAACUUGCCCAAGGUAAGGAAUAACGUCGAGAAAUCGGCGCUAAUACCUCAUAAUGCAGCGGAUCCGCAUGGAUAUGUUGUUAAAGGUUUACCGCCUUGGGAUAGGCUUGCGUCUGAUUAGCUAGUUGGUGUGGUAACGGCACACCAAGGCUACGAUCAGUAACUGGUCUGAGAGGAUGAUCAGUCACACUGGAACUGAGACACGGUCCAGACUCCUACGGGAGGCAGCAGUGAGGAAUAUUGGGCAAUGCUCGAAAGAGUGACCCAGCAACGCCGCGUGGAGGAUGAAGGUAUUCUAUAUCGUAAACUCCUGUGAGAGCAGACGAAAGACAGAUUAUUAAUCUGGAUGACUGUAUGCUCAGAGGAAGCCCCGGCUAACUACGUG
Molecule: ribosomal RNA, 475 nt
Filed under: uncultured bacterium
Lineage: Bacteria
Description: bacterial SSU rRNA
Rfam family: Bacterial small subunit ribosomal RNA
Source: RNAcentral